GACGAACGCUGGCGGCAUGCCUAAUACAUGCAAGUCGAGCGAACAGAUGAAGUGGUUGCACUUCUGACGUUAGCGGCGAACGGGUGAUUAACACGUAAGGAAUCUACCUAUAAGCGGGGGAUAAUAUUCGGAAACGGGUGCUAAUACCGCAUAAUAUCUUCUUCCGCAUGGAAGAAGAUUGAAAGACAGCUCUGCUGUUACUGAUAGAUGACCUUGCGGUGCAUUAGUUAGUUGGUGGGUAACGGCCUACCAAGACGAUGAUGCAUAGCCGACCUGAGAGGGUGAUCGGCCACAUUGGGACUGAGACACGGCCCAAACUCCUACGGGAGGCAGCAGUAGGGAACCUUCCGCAAUGGGCGAAAGCCUGACGGAGCAAUGCCGCGUGAGUGAAGAAGGCCUUCGGGUCGUAAAACUCUGUUAUAAGAGAAGAACAAAUUGUAGAGUAACUGCUACAGUCUUGACGGUAUCUUAUCAGAAAGCCACGGCUAACUACGUGCCAGCAGCCGCCGUAA
Molecule: ribosomal RNA, 512 nt
Filed under: uncultured bacterium
Lineage: Bacteria
Description: partial 16S ribosomal RNA
Rfam family: Bacterial small subunit ribosomal RNA
Source: RNAcentral